RNAcentral lists this microRNA (21 nucleotides) under Caenorhabditis elegans. Lineage: Eukaryota; Metazoa; Nematoda; Chromadorea; Rhabditida; Rhabditidae. The record is from RNAcentral.
GUGCAACGAUCAGUGGCAUGC